Molecule: long non-coding RNA, 1412 nt
Organism: Passer domesticus (house sparrow)
Lineage: Eukaryota; Metazoa; Chordata; Aves; Passeriformes; Passeridae
Exons: 3
Source: RefSeq, a predicted model, not a curated record
AGAACUAUGUCUCUCUCUGGUCAGAGGAAAUGUGAUUACCACAGCCACCUACCCCCAGUACAGUGGUAAUUCUGCUUGACCAAGAGCAGAAACAGGGCAGGAUGCUGGUCUGCUGCCUGUAGGAGUGUCACGGGACUGAUGUUCAGACUCAGUAGCUGUAGGAAUCUCACCUGUCCACCUGUUUCCCAGGCUCUGCCAUGGAGCAGGUACACAAGAAGCACACACCAGAGCUAAGGAGGGAGGCUAAAAAUGUCAGCAGAAACUGCAACUCAUCAAGAUGAUAGCAGUUAAUGCCCCAACAGAAUGGACAGAAGAGAAAGAAUCUGAUAAGGUGUCAGAGGGCCCCAGACCAAAAAUCACCACUGAACUAAAAAGGAAAUACAGGGUUGAGCCUGAAGAAAGAGGAAUCCCAUGUGAGCACGAGGGAGUCAGGAGUCAGAGGGGGCUGCUAUUGGCUCAUUGGAACCACCUGCAGUGAAGGGUCUCAGGCCCCAGCAGCUGCAGUCUUGAGUGAUGCUGCAGCUCCCUGACUUGUGUAAUGUUGGAGCUGUGUCUUCUCCCUUAAGGUUGCCCUCCUGCAUUAUUUCAUUAUAAAUUCUGGUAUGAAUAAUGGUACGUAGCCAGAAAAAUGCAGCACAUUUAAACUGAGUCCUACAUAUAAGUGAAUGUAAAGUUUGUAUAUUUAGAGUCUCCACAUUUUUUCUUCCACAAGUUAGAUGGCAGAUUUAAGAGAGAGCAGGCUAAAGAUCUAAAGCAGGAAAAUGAACCAUGAUCUGAAAAAAAAAGAGGGAUAGAAGGAGGCAGAGGAAAGGAAGGGAAUCCUGCUGCAUCUGUGUAAUAAGGUGUUUACAGCCUUUUUUUUGUGAAACAAAUUUCACUGCAAAUCAAAAUCCCUGUUACUCACAUUGAAGGCAAAGGAAAUUUCAUUUCAACUUUGAUUCAAUGAAACACCCACUUUCAAGCAUACUAGUUCUGGUUCAGUAAAACACAUGGAGGUAAAGAUAACUCAAUGUAAACAUCCAUUUGAACCCUGCUGGCUUCAGUGAGAAGUUAGUUUGCUUUGGAAUUGUUAAAUUUGAUGACUCACAUAAUACUGGUAGAAAUCUCUACAUCUCUUCAGUGUUUAAUAUUUGGAAAUUUAGCCCAUAUUUUGAAUGAUAUUUAGAAUAACUGAAGUCAACAGAAUGCCCUGUGCACACCUAAUCUUCAGUGGCUUAAUAUUGUGAAUAAAAGUGAGUACUCUUCUAGAGAGACACUAGUUCAUUAUUAGAAAGAUAUACUACAGAUCAGAGUUGUCUUCAAAGAUGCAGUAAUUUUUUCAUAGAUUUUAAUACUCAGUUUUACAGUCCAUAUUCUGAAAAGUACACCAUUAUGUAGCGUUAUUUUGUGGAUGGAAAAUAUGGGAUGUAUAU